GCGCACGUAGCUCAGGUGGAUCAGAGCGCCAGCUUGCGGAGCUGGAGGCCGGAGGUUCGAGUCCUCCCGUGCGCGCCA
This 78-nucleotide transfer RNA is filed under the name Gemmatimonadota bacterium. RNAcentral's name for it is "Gemmatimonadetes bacterium tRNA-Arg". It matches the Rfam family "tRNA". From Rfam's summary of the family: Transfer RNA (tRNA) molecules are approximately 80 nucleotides in length. Their secondary structure includes four short double-helical elements and three loops (D, anti-codon, and T loops). Lineage: Bacteria; Pseudomonadati; Gemmatimonadota. The record is from RNAcentral. RNAcentral also lists the same sequence under 1 other name.